AUUUUAAUAGACAAAUUAACUGUUUUCCAAUGUUUAUGAGUAUCCUGAGUGCACUGUAGCUGUCUUCAGACACACCAGAAGAGGGCACUAGAACCCAUAACAGAUGGUUGUGAGCUACCAUGUGGUUGCUGGGAAUUGAACUCAGGACCUCUGGAAGAGCAGUCAGUGCUCUUAACCACUGAGCCAUCUCUCCAGCCCUGAGAAUGAAGCAUGAGCAUCAUGAAAUCGUCCUGAAAAUCCAGUCCGUACAAAUGGAAAGUGUCUUCUCCAAACCAAGUCGGGUGAUGGACAAAAUUCUGCUGGUAUAAUCAAUGAAGAGAAAGAAGCUGACCUCAGAUGAUUUGUGGCAGAAGAAAGAUCUAUGGAAAUGGGAAAAAGCUGUUCGUAUAGGCUGUUCUGAGAAAUAUUCUGAAAGACAUUAUUCUCUGAACAUGACAUGUCCCUCCAAGUGCCCUGUGGAAGCCCAAGAGGAAUGAUCAGCCUUCAGUGGACUCAAUUCUUUUUGUUCAUUCUCCCUUUACCACAUACGUGUUAAAUAAUAUUGUAUUGUGAUAUUGGUGUGAAAGGUCACUUGGAUCAUGCAGAAUAUGUACAUCAUAUUUCUACUCUUGAAAACUCACCAAGUGUGGUCACAGUUGUAACUUUCAGGUUGUGAUAUAGGCACAAGUUAUAGUAUUAUAUUUUAGAAGUCUUAUGCUAUGCUAUUUUCCUUUGUUUUUGUAUUUGAAGAAAUGACCUGAGGGAGUACCCAGUGUUAAAGAUUUCUCAAAGAAAUAAUAUUUACUAUUUCAACAAAGGUGUGAAAUUAUAUACUAAUUACUUAGAUUAAAAGUAAUUAAGAACCUUCAUUGACAGAAUGAACUUAUUUCAUAUUUUUAUUAGUUCUCCAAGAGUUCAAAGUUUCACAUGAUAUGUUUUGGUCAUAUUCAUUCCCCAACUCUUCUUAGACACACCCUCAAUUCCUAUACCCAUAACGUUUUUGUCCUGUAUAGCAAAAACACUGCAAGAAUAAUUACAUUACCCUAAAUAUUUUCGGAUUGUGGUCUUCCAUUCAAGCAUGGUUGAUUUAUGAGCACUUACACUCAUAGAGAAGAUAGACUCUUCCUUUUCCAGCAGUGAACAAGUUCCAGUCACCAUAGACUUUGGAUGAAAUUGUGUCCCCUAGCUCACUUCUCCAUGCUAGAAUUUGGUCUCGUCGAGCUGGCACAGGUUGUAUGCAUGCUGUCACAACUACUGAGUUUUAUGUGCAUUUGCCUUGUUAUGUCUAGAAGAUGUUUUCUUGCAUUCAUCCACAUUCUCUGAUCUUAUAUACCUUCUUCCUACUCUUCUGCAUCCAUCCCUGAGGCUUAGGGGGAGAUAGAUAUGUUUCAUCUGUGUUGAACCUCUGCAGCCACUCAUGCUCUACACCUGAACUGGUUGUAUAUAGCUCACAUGAAUAAAUUCUUUCUUUAAAAACAUAAAAUACUUUCCUAAUUCAACCACAGGCAUCCCUGACUUGUGUCCAUUAGUUGGGUGUAAGUAUCUGCUUACUUGGACUUCUCUUAGAGGGCAGCCAUGCUAGGCUCCUUUCUGUAAGCACACCAUAGCAUCAGUAUUAGUGUCCGGCCUUGAUGCCUCCUCUUGAGAUGGAUCCCAAGGAGGUCACUGGACCUCCUUCCUCAGUCUCUUCUCAAUUUUGGUCCAUGCAUUUGUUUUUUUUAGAUAGGAACGAUGCUGGGUCAGAAUUUUUGACUGUGGGAUAAACUUAUUAAUAAUAAGCUUUUCAACCAAAUUUGUUUUCUAUCCCUUGUAAAAUGUAAGUAUCACUAGUAGAAAAUCAGAUUUCUUAUUUAUUUCCUAGGUUGGAAACCUGACACUUUUAUGCUAUAUUCAUAACCCACUCUUAUUAAAAGAGAUGUUAUUCUUUCUUCUUUUUAAUGAGUACUUGUGUAGCUCAUUUAGAAUUUUCCCCAAGAAGAAUAACUAUGAAGUGAUCUUGGUGUUUAAAUAGCAAAUCUUGUUCUUUUUCUGCCCUACUACAGUGUUGGCCCUUAAAACCAUAAAUAGUUGGAUGAUUAAUACAUUCAUUCAGCUAGAAGACUACAUUGCAUUUGAAUUUCAAGGAGUUAAAUGAAGUUAAGUGUAAAGCUUGUAAAAUAUUAAAUCCAAAUAUCACACUGAGCCUUGAAUUGCUCUUUAAGUAACAUCCCUAUGCUGGAAAAAAAUCCAUUUGCAAUAAAUUUUCCUAUGCAAGCUAAAGGAUUUCAAAUUCUUGAAAGCCCAUGGGUCCCAUGUAAUUUGUAUCACUUACGGUCUUUCCUCUGAGUGCCUAGACACUCAUUGUUAGAGUGACUUAGUCUAUUUCCUUAAACUCGAGACCUAGUCAAUUAUCACAUUGUCAUUCCAAUUUUUUGUCUACAAAUGUCUUGUUGCUACAAGAAAAUACUCGUGUGCUCACAAUAUAAGCUGCAUAUUAUAAGGAAAGAACAAUGAGAUAUAAUGUGGCUGUGGAUGAUAUGUCCAGUUGCUCUUACAUACAGAGCAGAAUUUAGGGAAGAGGAAAAUUAAAAUUAAGCUUUCAGGGUAAAAUAAAAAUCGAGCUAGUAAUUAUAAAUGCCAUUAUUCAUGUACUUCAGAGAUUCCAAAAUUGCAACUAGGGUGACCAGAGGAGUUCUGUGAUGCUUGCUGUGAAAAACUACUAGGAUCAUCAAAAUGUGAAGUCUUUUUGUUGAGAGUUAAUGUAGAAUGACAUGUAGCAGAUAAAUGACAACGUAUUUCACAAGGGGAAAAUUAUGGAGAUUGAUAGUUUUGCUAAGUAUUGUCAAGAAGUACUGACCAGUAAAAUUCAUUGAAUGGGUUUGUUUUUCUGUCUCUGCCCAUACAAAAAAAGGAUAAGUUUGAGGCUGUAAGUGCAUUUUUUAUUAUCUAUAUCAGCAAUUUAGAAUGGAAUAUCUAUUAGUUACCUUUACUUUGUUAUGACAACAUACCCAGUAGACAUAAAAAAGGAAAGAUGCAAUUGGGCUCAUGUCAGGGGGCUGAACUUCCCAGUGGGAAAAUAUACUGCAGCAGAGAAGUUAAUAUUUUGGAGGAACAGGGGGAGAAGAUCACAUCUAACCUCAGUGCUCAGCUGUCUUUUUUUUUUAUUCUUUCCUUCUUAUUUUGUCCCUAUACCUAGACCUGUAUGUAUAAUAUGGUGCCCUGUGCAUUCAUGAAUAAGUUUUAUGCUCUGACUCAUGCCUGGAAAAAUUGUCAUAGAGGCAACAGGAGGAGAUGAAUCUAAAUAAUCAAAUUGAUUCUAAAUCCACAUCAGAUUGACAAUGAAAAUUGACGAUUGCAGUGCUGGAAAACACAUCUGUUGUUUUUAAGCUUGCUAUUAAGUGAUUCAUGUUAAUAAUAUGCCAAGAUACCGCAAAUAAAUAAAGAUGUUAGAGAUGAAAAUGAGUUUGCAGUAAUAUUUGUAUUCUGUGAGUAAUAAAUAUAAAAUAAUAUAACUUAAGGACAGUGAUCAUAAAUCUACAGGUAUGAGCAUGGCUCUGUGAUAGAGCAUGUCAUGUGAGUGUUCAUUGGUUUGAUUCCCACACUCCUAACUUCAGUGACAAAAAAAGAAGUUGUAUGUAUAAGAAGUCACAUUACAAUUAUCAGGGAAGCAAGAAAGAAAUGUUAGUGUUCUAAAAUAUCUGGGACAAGUUGGCGCUCAGUUGCCGUAACCAUAAAAAUUAUUGGAAAAAUAAGUGAAGGUUUGCAAAAAUGGGAAAUAUAACCUCACUAGAAUAUUGGCAGUAUUUAUAAAAGCCUUGUAAACAAUGUAAAUAAACAUUGAUUUGACACGUUGAACAACAUGCAUUUCAAAGUCUACAUGACAUAAUCUGUCAUGAAAUCUGCAUCAUUAUGUCUUUGGAGUAUAUGGACUUUUCCUAAGGUAUAAAGGAGUGAUCUGGCUUCAGUCUGUCUGUCAAUAAAGCUUCAGUCUUGGUCAUUUCAAUAGCAAGGCACAUUCAGUUUUCCUGAAUAGAGUCUUUCCUGUGGUUUGUUCUUAUUGUUUUAUAAAAAGUACAAAAAAAUUGAAAAA
Non-coding RNA from Rattus norvegicus (Norway rat), 4048 nucleotides. The record is from RefSeq and is a predicted model, not a curated record. Lineage: Eukaryota; Metazoa; Chordata; Mammalia; Rodentia; Muridae.